This 1244-nucleotide ribosomal RNA is filed under the name Salmonella enterica subsp. arizonae. RNAcentral's name for it is "partial 23S ribosomal RNA". It matches the Rfam family "Bacterial large subunit ribosomal RNA", at positions 525 to 1779 of the family's 2925-position model. Lineage: Bacteria; Pseudomonadati; Pseudomonadota; Gammaproteobacteria; Enterobacterales; Enterobacteriaceae. The record is from RNAcentral.
CCCGGCGAGGGGAGUGAAACAGAACCUGAAACCGUGUACGUACAAGCAGUGGGAGCAUGAGUUUACUCAUGUGACUGCGUACCUUUUGUAUAAUGGGUCAGCGACUUAUAUUCUGUAGCAAGGUUAACCGUAUAGGGGAGCCGCAGGGAAACCGAGUCUUAAUUGGGCGUUAAGUUGCAGGGUAUAGACCCGAAACCCGGUGAUCUAGCCAUGGGCAGGUUGAAGGUUGGGUAACACUAACUGGAGGACCGAACCGACUAAUGUUGAAAAAUUAGCGGAUGACCUGUGGCUGGGGGUGAAAGGCCAAUCAAACCGGGAGAUAGCUGGUUCUCCCCGAAAGCUAUUUAGGUAGCGCCUCGUGAACUCAUCUCCGGGGGUAGAGCACUGUUUCGGCCAGGGGGCCAUCCCGGCUUACCAACCCGAUGCAAACUGCGAAUACCGGAGAAUGUUAUCACGGGAGACACACGGCGGGUGCUAACGUCCGUCGUGAAGAGGGAAACAACCCAGACCGCCAGCUAAGGUCCCAAAGUCAUGGUUAAGUGGGAAACGAUGUGGGAAGGCCCAGACAGCCAGGAUGUUGGCUUAGAAGCAGCCAUCAUUUAAAGAAAGCGUAAUAGCUCACUGGUCGAGUCGGCCUGCGCGGAAGAUGUAACGGGGCUAAACCAUGCACCGAAGCUGCGGCAGCGACACUGUGUGUUGUUGGGUAGGGGAGCGUUCUGUAAGCCUGCGAAGGUGUGCUGUGAGGCAUGCUGGAGGUAUCAGAAGUGCGAAUGCUGACAUAAGUAACGAUAAUGCGGGUGAAAAACCCGCACGCCGGAAGACCAAGGGUUCCUGUCCAACGUUAAUCGGGGCAGGGUGAGUCGACCCCUAAGGCGAGGCCGAAAGGCGUAGUCGAUGGGAAACAGGUUAAUAUUCCUGUACCUGGUGUUACUGCGAAGGGGGGACGGAGAAGGCUAUGUUGGCCGGGCGACGGUUGUCCCGGUUUAAGCGUGUAGGCUGGUUUUCCAGGCAAAUCCGGAAAAUCAAGGCUGAGGCGUGAUGACGAGGCACUACGGUGCUGAAGCAACAAAUGCCCAGCUUCCAGGAAAAGCCUCUAAGCCUCAGGUAACAUCAGAUCGUACCCGAAACCGACACAGGUGGUCAGGUAGAGAAUACCAAGGCGCUUGAGAGAACCCGGGUGAAGGAACUAGGCAAAAUGGUGCCGUAACUUCGGGAGAAGGCACGCUGACACGUAGGUGAAGCGG